GGGACCUGAUGCAGCCAUGCCGCGUGUGUGAAGAAGGCCUUCGGGUUGUAAAGCACUUUCAGUUGUGAGGAAAGGUUGGUAGUUAAUACCUGCCAGCUGUGACGUUAACAACAGAAGAAGCACCGGCUAACUCCGUGCCAGCAGCCGCGANAAU
Molecule: ribosomal RNA, 154 nt
Filed under: Alteromonas sp.
Lineage: Bacteria; Pseudomonadati; Pseudomonadota; Gammaproteobacteria; Alteromonadales; Alteromonadaceae
Description: partial 16S ribosomal RNA
Rfam family: Bacterial small subunit ribosomal RNA
Source: RNAcentral